CAGCCUUACCGAUGGAUCACUCGGUUCGUAGUUCGAUGAAGAACGCAGCUAACUGCGUUAAUUGAUAUAAUCUGCAGAAACCUUGAGUAUUAAUUUGUUGAAUGCACAUUGCGCCAUUGGAGUUACAUCCUUUGGCGUGUCUGGUUCAGGGGCGUU
RNAcentral lists this ribosomal RNA (156 nucleotides) under Deladenus siricidicola. Its description in RNAcentral is "5.8S ribosomal RNA". It matches the Rfam family "5.8S ribosomal RNA". Rfam says of the family: 5.8S ribosomal RNA (5.8S rRNA) is a component of the large subunit of the eukaryotic ribosome. It is transcribed by RNA polymerase I as part of the 45S precursor that also contains 18S and 28S rRNA. The record is from RNAcentral. Lineage: Eukaryota; Metazoa; Nematoda; Chromadorea; Rhabditida; Sphaerulariidae.